CUAAAACUACAUAUCCGCC
Molecule: small nuclear RNA, 19 nt
Filed under: Arabidopsis thaliana (thale cress)
Lineage: Eukaryota; Viridiplantae; Streptophyta; Magnoliopsida; Brassicales; Brassicaceae
Description: snRNA_14532
Source: RNAcentral